GUGCACCAGGCGAGAAUCUUCCACAAUGGGGAAACCCUGAUGGAGCGACGCCGCGUGCGGGAUGAAGGCCCUAUGGGUUGUAAACCGCUGUUCAGUGGAAAGAACAUCCUCCGGCUGAAUAGGUCGGAGGCCUGACGUUACCACUGCAGAAAGUCCCGGCCAACUCCGUGCCAGCAGCCGCGGUAAUACGGGGGGACGGAGCGUUGUUCCGGAACGUCAUUGGGUCGGUAAAGGGACGGCGUAGGC
Molecule: ribosomal RNA, 246 nt
Filed under: uncultured microorganism
Description: partial 16S ribosomal RNA
Rfam family: Bacterial small subunit ribosomal RNA
Source: RNAcentral